Molecule: ribosomal RNA, 515 nt
Filed under: uncultured bacterium
Lineage: Bacteria
Description: partial 16S ribosomal RNA
Rfam family: Bacterial small subunit ribosomal RNA
Source: RNAcentral
GAUGAACGCUGGCGGCGUGCCUAAUACAUGCAAGUCGAGCGAAUGGAUUAAGAGCUUGCUCUUAUGAAGUUAGCGGCGGACGGGUGAGUAACACGUGGGUAACCUGCCCAUAAGACUGGGAUAACUCCGGGAAACCGGGGCUAAUACCGGAUAACAUUUUGAACCGCAUGGUUCGAAAUUGAAAGGCGGCUUCGGCUGUAACUUAUGGAUGGACCCGCGACGCAUUAGUCAGUUGGUGAGGUAACGGCUCACCAAGGCAACGAAGCGUAGCCGACCUGAGAGGGUGAUCGGCCACACUGGGACUGAGACACGGCGCAGACUCCUACGGGAGGCAGCAGAAGGGAAUCUUCCGCAAUGGACGAAAGUCUGACGGAGCAACGCCGCGUGGGUGAUGAAGGCUUUCGGGUCGUAAAACUCUGUUGUUAGGGAAGAACAAGUGCUAGUUGAAUAAGCUGGCACCUUGACGGUACCUAACCAGAAAGCCACGGCUAACUACGUGCCAGCCGCCGCAGUAA